Molecule: ribosomal RNA, 302 nt
Filed under: uncultured Gardnerella sp.
Lineage: Bacteria; Bacillati; Actinomycetota; Actinomycetes; Bifidobacteriales; Bifidobacteriaceae
Description: bacterial SSU rRNA
Rfam family: Bacterial small subunit ribosomal RNA
Source: RNAcentral
AGUGGGGUCGCGUCCCUAUCAGCUUGUAGGCGGGUAAUGGCCCACCUAGGCUUCGACGGGUAGCCGGCCUGAGAGGGCGGACGGCCACAGUUGGGACUGAGAUACCGGCCCAGACUCCGUACGGGAGGCAGCAGGUGGGGAAUAUUGCGCAAGUGGGGAAAACCCUGACGCAGCGACGCCGCGUGCGGGAUGAAGGCCUUCGGGGUUGUAAACCGCUUUUGAUUGGGGAGCAAGCCUUCGGGUGAGUGUACCUUUCGAAUAAGCGCCGGGCUAACUACGUGCCCAGCAGCCGCGGGUAAAUA